GUGUUCACUUUGGCAGCAUAUAUACUAAAAUUGGAUCGAUACAGAGAAGAUCAGCAUGGACCCUGCACAAAGAUGACAUGCAAAUUCGUGAAGCAUUCCAUAUUUUU
Molecule: small nuclear RNA, 107 nt
Organism: Nomascus leucogenys (northern white-cheeked gibbon)
Lineage: Eukaryota; Metazoa; Chordata; Mammalia; Primates; Hylobatidae
Source: RefSeq, a predicted model, not a curated record